This 86-nucleotide transfer RNA is filed under the name Candidatus Nealsoniibacteriota bacterium. Its description in RNAcentral is "tRNA-Ser". It matches the Rfam family "tRNA". Rfam says of the family: Transfer RNA (tRNA) molecules are approximately 80 nucleotides in length. Lineage: Bacteria; Candidatus Nealsoniibacteriota. The record is from RNAcentral.
GGAGGGGUCGGGAGUGGUUAUCCCAAGUAGUCUUGAAAACUACUAGGGUCGAAAGGUCCUCGUGAGUUCGAAUCUCACCCCCUCCG